RNAcentral lists this ribosomal RNA (432 nucleotides) under uncultured bacterium. RNAcentral's name for it is "partial 16S ribosomal RNA". It matches the Rfam family "Bacterial small subunit ribosomal RNA", at positions 29 to 507 of the family's 1533-position model. The record is from RNAcentral.
ACGAACGCUGGCGGCAGGCCUAACACAUGCAAGUCGAGCGCGCCCUUCGGGGUGAGCGGCGGACGGGUGAGUAACGCGUGGGAACGUGCCCUUUUCUACGGAAUAGCCUCGGGAAACUGAGAGUAAUACCGUAUACGCCCUUUGGGGGGAAGAUUUAUCGGAAAAGGAUCGGCCCGCGUUGGAUUAGGUAGUUGGUGGGGUAAUGGCCUACCAAGCCGACGAUCCAUAGCUGGUUUGAGAGGAUGAUCAGCCACACUGGGACUGAGACACGGCCCAGACUCCUACGGGAGGCAGCAGUGGGGAAUCUUAGACAAUGGGGGCAACCCUGAUCUAGCCAUGCCGCGUGAGUGAUGAAGGCCUUAGGGUUGUAAAGCUCUUUCAGCUGGGAAGAUAAUGACGGUACCAGCAGAAGAAGCCCCGGCUAACUCCGUG